GAUGAACGCUGACAGAAUGCUUAACACAUGCAAGUCGAAGGGGAAGUGGCGCUUGCACCAUGGUAACCAUGGCGGACGGGUGAGUAACGCGUAAGGAACUUGCCUGCGGGACUGGGAUAACAGCAGGAAACUGCUGAUAAUACCGGAUAAGGUCAUUAAGCUGCAUAGCUGAGUGAAGAAAGGAGACGCGUGCGGAGAGCCUUGCGUCCUAGUAGCUAGUUGGGGGGGUAACGGCCCACAAAGGCGAAGAUGGGUAGCCGGCCUGAGGGGGUGGGCGGCAACAAGGGGACUGAGCUGCGGCCCCUACUCCUACGGGAGGCAGCAGUGGAGAAUAUUGGACGAGGGGGGGAACGCUGAUCCAGCACUUCUGUGUGCACGAAGACGGUUUUCGGAUUGUAAAGUGCUUUCAGCAGGGAAGAAGGAAGUGACGGUACCUGCAGAAGAAGCGACGGCUAAAUACGUG
Molecule: ribosomal RNA, 463 nt
Filed under: uncultured bacterium
Lineage: Bacteria
Description: partial 16S ribosomal RNA
Rfam family: Bacterial small subunit ribosomal RNA
Source: RNAcentral